UCUUCUAUCUACUUUUACUAGGUCCAUACUAGCUGCACUUAUUUCUAGGAAGCACUUUCCAUCAGCCAGAGGUGAGCUCCCUGUGACAGGAGGCGUUUAGAGAGAGGUUGAGUAACUGCCUGGGGUGUUGCAGAAGGGAACCCACCAUUGGAAGGGCUGGUCUGUGCUUCUAGCCGAGUGGUUCCUGAAUCCUCUCUGUCGCUAUGCUUUGCAGAGAUAGAAAUGAGGUGUGGGGAGGUAAAAAGGAAGUGACCUGUCCCACAGUGAAUCUGCAGAAAAGCCAGUGAAGACCAGGUGGAUGAAAAUGAGGCUGGGGCCAUGCCCAUGGGGAGAUGUUGGACGAUGCUUGAGUGCAAGAUGGCAGCAGGCCGGGAGAGGCCCAGAAGAGAACUCACCACGCCGUGGGGGUGAGUAGCGGGAGGGACAGCAGCAUGUGCAUCCCCCAAAGGCCUCCAGUUUGUUUGUAAAGUCUCAGGCAGGAAUCUGCCCUUGUGAUCCUGAGGCCUCAUGUUUCAGGGCUCAAAGCUGGCCCUGGGGACAGGAGGUGGCAACUGGUGUCUGACCCCCUAAACCUGGUGCCUCCACUGAUCAACAGACCAGAUAAGGGACAGGUCACCCCCUGACCUUAGGGCCUUGAGGCCCAGGGCGGGGAGUGGGUGGUGGUGCUGCAGUUAGAGGAUCCCAUUCUCAGGACAGUAAACCCUCGAAAGAACUUCUCACCCACUAUUUUCCAAGCUUUAGUCACUUGCAUUCUGCUUUCAUAAUGUUGACCAUUUCCAAGUUCCCUUGUAUUUUUAAACUUAAAAUAAAG
Molecule: long non-coding RNA, 811 nt
Filed under: Homo sapiens (human)
Lineage: Eukaryota; Metazoa; Chordata; Mammalia; Primates; Hominidae
Description: HSALNT0240008
Source: RNAcentral